UGACCAUGUUCAAAACACCCUUCACUCUAACACUUCAAUUCAGGCCCACAGAGACCUUAAGCAGCAUCUGUAUCAAUACAUAUCGUACCUCAAGACACUGCACAUGGCGAUAUGGAUAUUGUGAGCGAGGCCAUACCUGACAGAGAGUGUGAAGUCCCCUGGGUUGCUCUUGCUGGGCCGGGCCAGGAAGCUGCCGUGGACCCCCCGUGUCAGGAGCAGCUGCUCAGCCUCUAUCCCAGUGAUGUUGGGGUGGAACCACCUGUAAACGGGUACCACACACAGAGCACAGGUGGGUCAUGGAAAAGAAAGAAGCAGAACAAACUGGUUGUGACGAAAAAGAGAUCGAGAACACUUCACUGCAAGAGGCAAUGAUUCAACAGGAGGUGGGGGGAAAUAAAUACACUUCUCGACAAACAUUUAUAGAAAUGGCCCGUGUGACUCACAACGCGUGUGGACACACACGCACACACACACACACACACACACACACACUAAAAAACACUCCCACUUGCUUCUCCAGGCACAACCACUUGUCCAGCUGAUGUUGUGAAGAUAAGAACGCUCCAAUUAAACCAGCGUACAUAAGCAAAUACACACACAGAUACACACACACAAUACACCAUCAACCCAACACAACCUCAGCCCUGUCUUCCUCUCCUGCCAGAAUUCCCUGAAUAAGUGAGACCCACUGCCCAACAUCUCACUCCUACACCAUCUGUGGUGCCACGCUCACCUGCCACCCACCGCGUUGCCGUAUCGGAUGCAGCUGCGGCCCCAAAGGAGCUUGCUGCUGGUGGAUCAGCUCACCUCUGGCCUCCGCCCGAUUAACCCUGAUUUCCAGGGGCCAAACUCCCCCCUCUCAGCAUGCCUGACGUAAACAUUAACACGGUUUAAGAGCAUGGCUGUGUGCAAGCUCAUGGUCUUGGCCUGGAACAAUCAGACCCCUGUGACCUCUUUAAAAGCAGUGGCACACCACAGUCUCGCUGAGCAGCACAAGCCCUGGGGCACAUGCAAAUAAGGGACAACGUAUGCAUGCCAACAGACACAGAUACACACAC
Long non-coding RNA from Alosa sapidissima (American shad), 1058 nucleotides. RefSeq lists it as uncharacterized. The record is from RefSeq and is a predicted model, not a curated record. NCBI's taxonomy places the organism in Eukaryota, Metazoa, Chordata, Actinopteri, Clupeiformes, Clupeidae. The transcript has 3 exons.